GAUGAAGAACGCAGCGAAAUGCGAUAAGUAAUGUGAAUUGCAGAAUUCAGUGAAUCAUCGAAUCUUUGAACGCACAUUGCGCCCCCUGGUAUUCCGGGGGGCAUGCCUGUCCGAGCGUCAUUACAACCCUCAAGCUCAGCUUGGUGUUGGGCCCCGCCGCCCCGGCGGGCCCUAAAGUCAGUGGCGGCGCCGUCCGGCUCCGAGCGUAGUAAUUCUUCUCGCUCUGGAGGUCCGGUCGUGUGCUCGCCAGCAACCCCCAAUUUUUUUCAGGUUGACCUCGGAUCAGGUAGGGAUACCCGCUGAACUUAAGCAUAUCAAUAAGCGGAGGA
This 329-nucleotide unclassified non-coding RNA is filed under the name soil metagenome. Its description in RNAcentral is "partial contains 5.8S ribosomal RNA, internal transcribed spacer 2, and large subunit ribosomal RNA". The stretch from base 1 to 120 matches the Rfam family "5.8S ribosomal RNA", at positions 35 to 154 of the family's 154-position model. The record is from RNAcentral.